This is a long non-coding RNA of Triticum dicoccoides, 1508 nucleotides long. RefSeq lists it as uncharacterized. Lineage: Eukaryota; Viridiplantae; Streptophyta; Magnoliopsida; Poales; Poaceae. The transcript is spliced from 2 exons. The record is from RefSeq and is a predicted model, not a curated record.
CACCACCUAUGCCUUGCAGCUGUAGCCCACCUCCCCGGCGUCGUCCCACUCUGCUCUCCCCCACGACCCCCACCUUCCUCCCGGUCCAUCCUCGACCUCCACUUGUUUCUGCCGUCCGGGGGUCGCGCCGCCGUCCGUGGAUCUCCGCCGCCCCGCCCAGCCACCUCCAGUCCCGGGCGCAACCAGAGCCGCCACCGUCCACGCGGACCCGCGCGUCGCCGGCCCGGUUCAUCAUCCCGAUGUGACCAGGCGCUCCAACCGCCGCAGCCUAUCAGAUCCGGUGAGAUCCGGCUGCCCCCGCACCUCCCUCCUGCUAACCGCCGGCGGAAGCCCCUCCUUCUCCAAGCACGUGGCUCGUGACCAGUGGAUCCAGUGGGUGACGGUGAUGGCCACUGGAUCCGCUGCAACCGGCCUCCUUCCCCCGACGCGGAUCCGGCGGGCACGACCCCAACCGCUUCUCUCUGCCGCGGAUCUGAUAUCGUCGGGUUUUCUUCACCAUCGUGGGGGAGGAGGGUGCUCCACCUCACGCCCUGCUCCACCUCAUGGCGGGCAGGCGCAACCAGAAGGCUUUUUUGCAGUUCACUGUUCCCUCGUCGACCACCGGCGUUUAUGCAGUCGAAGAUGGGGAGCUCGCCUCUCGUUCCAAUGAUGUGCAUCUUCUGCCCACACCCCUUUCUUGCAGUUCGCAUCCUCCUUGUGUGUGGUCUGGAGAACGCGUCCAUGCAGCUCACAGUCAUCUUGCAUUUGAUUUGACACACCAGAAACAAUUUUCCUCCCAUGUCAAAAUAGAAUUUUGCUGAUCAGUUGGAUAGUGAUAACAUGCAGUCUGCUCGGCAUGCUGGUGCUGGCUGAGGCGGCAACGCGUGCCGGCGCGCGUGCGGUGGGUGACUAGGAGCUCCCUGGCGAGCGUCCGUUCCCCUACGAGAAGUUCGUCGGUGAUUGUCUUACAUUACGCAUGGCUAGUGCCUGCAGUCCACUGUUGGGAUGGCAAGUACUGCAGUGCGAAGGAGUGCGGCGUGCAGCUCGCCCGAGCAUGCGAGCCAUGACGCUCACCUGCAGGAUGCAGCUCUCUCCUCCACUCCUUGCUUUCGCCACAGGGUGGCCGGUGACAUCCUUUUUUAGUAAUUCAAAGUUCACCAUGCAGGACACUAGCUAUCUGUAAAAAUGGUACCUCAUUAUAAUUUGUUAUUCAGACACGCAGUCCACUAACUAUUCUCUUCGGUUCAUUUUUUUGUUGUUUUCUUAGGAUGGGGAACAUACAAAAGUGGACGGCGUCCAGGGAUGUAAUUCUCUACCUGUGGCACGUUCAGCUGGGUGCUGCCAAUGCAAAGGAUAUUGUUUUGUAUUGGAGUGUGUGUGUGUGUGUUGAGUAGGUUACUAUUUUUGUUGUAGUCCAUGCGCUCGAUGCGAGUAGUGGCGCGGCAGUGCACUUCGUCGCCGUGUGAAGUUCCCUGUGUCGCCAUUGUAGUGUGGUUGCCCAUUUUUUUAUAAGUAAAGUUUGAAGCUCA